Molecule: small RNA, 125 nt
Filed under: Marmota monax (woodchuck)
Lineage: Eukaryota; Metazoa; Chordata; Mammalia; Rodentia; Sciuridae
Source: RNAcentral
GCUGGGUGUGGUGGCAUACACCUAUAAUUUCAGCGGCUCGGGAGGCUGAGGCAGGAGGAUCGUGAGUUCAAAGCCAGCCUCAGCAACAGCGAGGUGCUAAGCAACAUAGUGAGACCCUGUCUUUA